Molecule: long non-coding RNA, 556 nt
Organism: Callithrix jacchus (white-tufted-ear marmoset)
Lineage: Eukaryota; Metazoa; Chordata; Mammalia; Primates; Cebidae
Source: Ensembl
CUCCAAGUUAAUUGAACAGGGCAAGAGAAUCCACACUUACUCCAGCAAGUAAACAACUCAGUCGAAUGGUACAUGAGAUCAAAGAUCAUGUGGUCCUGGACCCAGAAACUACCAAUGCUUACCUCCAAGAAGCAGAAGGGACCUCAUUCAAGUGAAUCAUCACUGAAUGAUUCUGAAGUAGCCAAAGACCUGAGUGGCAAGGGCUUAAAGCAGGGGCUCCAAUUUCCAGGCCGUGGACUGGUAGGGGUCUGUGGCCAGUUUGGAACCAGACCAUACAGCAGCAGGUGAGCAUUACUGCCUGAGCUUCACCUCCUGUCAGAUCAGCUGCGGCAUGAGAUUCUCACAGGAGCACGAAUUCUAUUGUGACCUGCCUGAUGGUCUGAGGUGGAACAGUUUCAUCCCAAAACUAUCCCCUAUGGUUUGGCUCUGUGUCCCCUCCCAAAUAUCAUCUCAAAUUGUAAUCCCCACAUGUUGAGGGAGGGACCUUGUGGGAGGUGACUGGAUGAUGGGGGUGGUUUCCCCCAAACUGUUCUCUUGACAGUAAAUGAAUUCUGAU